GAGUUUGAACCUGGCUCAGGAUGAACGCUGGCGGCGUGCUUAACACAUGCAAGUCGAACGAAGCAGCAUGGAACGAAUCUUCGGAGGAGGGAAAUGGUGACUGAGUGGCGGACGGGUGAGUAACGCGUGGGUAACCUGCCUCGUACAGGGGGACAACAGUUGGAAACGACUGCUAAUACCGCAUAAGCGCACGAUACUGCAUGGUAUUGUGUGAAAAACUGAGGUGGUACGAGAUGGACCCGCGUCUGAUUAGCUGGUUGGUGGGGUAACGGCCUACCAAGGCAACGAUCAGUAGCCGACCUGAGAGGGUGACCGGCCACAUUGGGACUGAGACACGGCCCAAACUCCUACGGGAGGCAGCAGUGGGGAAUAUUGCACAAUGGGGGAAACCCUGAUGCAGCGACGCCGCGUGAAGGAAGAAGUAUUUCGGUAUGUAAACUUCUAUCAGCAGGGAAGAAAAUGACGGUACCUGAGUAAGAAGCCCCGGCUAACUACGUGCCAGCAGCCGCGGUAAUACGUAGGGGGCAAGCGUUAUCCGGAUUUACUGGGUGUAAAGGGAGCGUAGACGGUAAUGUAAGUCUGAUGUGAAAGCCCGGGGCUCAACCCCGGGACUGCAUUGGAAACUAUGUAACUAGAGUACCGGAGAGGUAAGCGGAAUUCCUAGUGUAGCGGUGAAAUGCGUAGAUAUUAGGAGGAACACCAGUGGCGAAGGCGGCUUACUGGACGGAAACUGA
Molecule: ribosomal RNA, 734 nt
Filed under: uncultured bacterium
Lineage: Bacteria
Description: bacterial SSU rRNA
Rfam family: Bacterial small subunit ribosomal RNA
Source: RNAcentral